Molecule: long non-coding RNA, 764 nt
Organism: Pyrus x bretschneideri (Chinese white pear)
Lineage: Eukaryota; Viridiplantae; Streptophyta; Magnoliopsida; Rosales; Rosaceae
Exons: 3
Source: RefSeq, a predicted model, not a curated record
CAGUUAAAACCCUAGAAAAAAUUACAACCCAGUUGGACGGUGACGUGAGCGACAAAGAAUGUACUCCAGAUAUUGCUACCAAACCCUUCGAGUGAGAUUCUGAUUUGAUUGGUGAGAGUAGCACGUCGAACGGAACUCAAGAAGGUUCUCCAUGUCAGAUGGUCCUUCCAGUUUUGCAGAAGAUCGCUGAUUUGUUAAUGUCGCUUUGAGGAAAGCUUAGAAAGUGAUUGGAAGCAUUUGUAUAUUCUUUCUGUUUUGAAUCUUUCGACAAAUUCACUAAACGUUUAUGGUUUUGUUCUUAUGCUUUAGGACUUGAAGAGAGAGCAUACUGCCUUGUCUGAUGAAGUCAAGCUCACUACGAAUUCCUCCAGUGAACCUUUUGUUUUAAUCACUCACAAUUAUUUUCUAACUUUCCUUCCUCUCUUUGACUGUAAUUGUUUGUUUAGGGACAUCUAGGUAUUGGACAUGAACUUUUAAAGAAGAAGUAACUGAUUGAGCUUAAAGGCAACGUCUGAGUUUUCUGCAGAUUUAGACCUAUGAAUCAAACUGAUAUUUCAAGCCGAUCAGGUUCCGUUGUUGGAUUGGAAUCCUCCCUAGACAAUGGGUUGCAGGUCAUUUGUUCUGACUCCUCUAAAAAGCAGUUCAAGUUUGACCAUGUCUUCAGACCUGAGGGCAACCAAGAGGCUGUUUUUGCUCAAACGAGACCUAUUGUGAGUUCAGUGUUGGAUGGCUACAAUGUCUGCAUUUUUGCCUAUGAACAAACU